This 260-nucleotide ribosomal RNA is filed under the name uncultured bacterium. RNAcentral's name for it is "partial 16S ribosomal RNA". It matches the Rfam family "Bacterial small subunit ribosomal RNA", at positions 98 to 354 of the family's 1533-position model. The record is from RNAcentral.
UCGGACGGGUGGAGUAACGACGUGGAAAACCUAGCCGUAUACUGGGGGAGUAACACUUAGAAAUAGGUGCUAAUACCGCAUAAGCGCACAGCUUCGCAUGAAGCGGUGUGAAAAACUCUGGUGGUAUACGAUGGUUCCGCGUCUGAUUAGCUAGUUGGUGGGGUAAUGGCCUACCAAGGCAACGAUCAGUAGCCGGCCUGAGAGGGUGAACGGCCACAUUGGGACUGAGACACGGCCCAAACUCCUACGGAAGGCAGCAG